GCCCAAUGAUGAGACCAAGGCGAAUGCGAGCCAACUGAAAGAGGGUUGGGAUCUCUCUCGUCUCGUUUGGCCGGUAAUCUUGGCAGUGUAGCGGAGAUUGGCUGCUCUGCUGUAAGGGCCGGCCUACAGUGACUUGGCCCCACCCACACGUUUCUCCUGCUAAAGAAACACGAUAGAGAAUAGUGGGAGAGUGCUGACAGUGUGACUGAUGUCUGUUUGCCUGUGUCUGCCUGCCUUUAUGCAUGAGGCAGGGAGAAUCCCAUCUCUCCUCAAUAUUCAGUUGGUCAUGAGCGCUCUUUGUUAAUCUGAGGGCU
Molecule: small nucleolar RNA, 314 nt
Filed under: Salmo trutta (river trout)
Lineage: Eukaryota; Metazoa; Chordata; Actinopteri; Salmoniformes; Salmonidae
Source: RNAcentral